RNAcentral lists this long non-coding RNA (1511 nucleotides) under Malus domestica (apple). RNAcentral's name for it is "long non-coding RNA (MDOM_LNC015256)". Lineage: Eukaryota; Viridiplantae; Streptophyta; Magnoliopsida; Rosales; Rosaceae. The record is from RNAcentral.
AUUUUUAUUAUGAGAGUUCUAUAUUAUCAUUACUAGGAUAAAUUUUACUUAACAUGUUGUUGUCCAAAAUUAAAUAAACUAGUAUAGUAUUUGUAUAGGCAAGAACUAAAAAGACAUAAAUACAAGUAUGAAAAUGUGAAAGAAUAUAUAAACACUCGUGAUUCAUCAUUAUUCCUCUAGGAGUAAAUAAUGGUUACACUUACAUUAUCGUUUAGAUUUUUAAAAUCCUCCAAACUCUCAUGAAUAAUGUGUUUUAUUUGAGGGCAAAAUUAAUAAAAUUAAUAAUAAUUAUUGUAGAAGUGUAAAAAAUGUAAAAAAAAUAUACAAUCACUCAUAGUGACAAGCUUUACAACUUUCAUAAGAGGGUCAGCUUCUAAAUCCAACACUAUAAUCCAUAAACCUUAAAUUUAUAUUUAACCGUGGAUUGUCAUUUACACGUUAUUCUUCUUACUGAAUUUCAGUUUUUAAAUUUUCUUUUUUGAAAACAUGAUCAUCUAGCGGAUGUAAGAAGAUGAACGGUUCAGAUCUUUGAUAUCACGUUUCAACAUUUACGGUUAACUGAAAUAUGAGUCAAUGUCAUAUAGUUUGUAGAAACUUUAUAAACAUCAAGCAAUAUUUUCACUAACCGUAAAACUUUGAAUAUAAUAUCAACGAUCCAAACUGUUCAUCUUCAUGCAUCCUCUAAUAGAUCAUGUUUUCAAAAAGAAAAUCUGAAGAAAAAAAAUGUGAUGAGAACAAUGAAGCAUAAAUGUAAAUAGCAAUCAACAAUUAAAUUUUGAUCUAUGAUUUAUAUGAUUAUAAUGGCAAAUUUCGAAGUUAAUCUCUUCAUGAAAGUUGUAAAGCUUGUCAUUACAAGCAUUUCAAUAUUUUUUUCUAUAUUUUUUACACUUCUACAUUAAUUAAAAAAAUAUUAAAGACUUUACUUAAAUAAUAGCCGUAAGAUAAAUGAGAGUAAAUCUGUACCAUUGGAUUCUAUUUCACUUCUAUUAUUAGAACUUUUUUGAACGAAAAAACCCCUUAUCUAUGCCAAUAUUUUCCAAUUUUACCAUUUGAUAAAUUUAGAUAAGCGAAAAUAUACUUAAAAGAAAAUUGCGUUUUUAUGUUUUGGAUGUGACAAUAUGAUAUUGUUUUGGAUGUGACAAUAUGGUAUGUAUAUACUUAUUUAGUAUUAUGUUUUUCAUUUGAUUAUUUAUUGGUUUUAAAUAUAUUUUCCUUAAUGGGGUAACGGGUCGGGUCAUAUUACCUAUUAAUAUUAUCGGGUCGAUUUCAAGUUGGGUCAUUUUACCAGUUGAUUUUAACGGAUGCUACACGACACGACCCGUUAAGAUAUCGGGUAUGACAUGAAAAUGACACGAACAUGAAAAACAUGACACAAAUGUCAGGUCUAGCCCAAAGGCCAUGCGUCUCCUGCCAUUUCUCACCUACAGGCCUCACGGCCUAACCUAGCUAGCGCCAACCGCACCAACCCUCGGCCUAAGCCGAGCUGAGCCGCCGCCAUGACUCACCACCCA